RNAcentral lists this ribosomal RNA (742 nucleotides) under uncultured bacterium. RNAcentral's name for it is "bacterial SSU rRNA". It matches the Rfam family "Bacterial small subunit ribosomal RNA", at positions 8 to 796 of the family's 1533-position model. The record is from RNAcentral.
AGAGUUUGAUCAUGGCUCAGAACGAACGCUGGCGGCAGGCCUAACACAUGCAAGUCGAACGCGACCUUCGGGUCGAGUGGCGCACGGGUGAGUAACGCGUGGGAAUCUGCCCUGUGGUACGGAAUAACAUCGGGAAACUGGUGCUAAUACCGUAUAUCCCCUGAGGGGGAAAGAUUUAUCGCCAUGGGAGGAGCCCGCGUAGGAUUAGCUAGUUGGUGAGGUAACGGCUCACCAAGGCGACGAUCCUUAGCUGGUCUGAGAGGAUGAUCAGCCACACUGGGACUGAGAUACGGCCCAGACUCCUACGGGAGGCAGCAGUGGGGAAUAUUGGACAAUGGGGGAAACCCUGAUCCAGCCAUGCCGCGUGUGUGAUGAAGGCCUUCGGGUUGUAAAGCACUUUCGCACGUGACGAUGAUGACGGUAACGUGAGAAGAAGCCCCGGCUAACUUCGUGCCAGCAGCCGCGGUAAUACGAAGGGGGCAAGCGUUGUUCGGAAUUACUGGGCGUAAAGGGCGCGUAGGCGGUGCACUAAGUCAGGCGUGAAAGCCCUGGGCUCAACCCGGGAAUUGCGUUUGAUACUGGUGCGCUUGAAUCCAGGAGAGGUUGGUGGAAUUCCCAGUGUAGAGGUGAAAUUCGUAGAGAUUGGGAAGAACACCGGUGGCGAAGGCGGCCAACUGGACUGGUAUUGACGCUGAGGCGCGAAAGCGUGGGGAGCAAACAGGAUUAGAUACCCUAGUAGUCC